GCAAGUGUCUACAUUUUUUGCGUAAAUUAUUUCACUUUAAACUAAAUAUGUAAAUUUUAUUGAAGUGAAAGAUUCAUUUAUAAAUUCGAUUUUGACAGAGCAUUCAGUAGCAAAGCUGGCUGCAAAAAACGAAGUUUCUCGGUACAAUAAAAUUUCACAUCAACAUUUUAAGAAUGAUAAAAGACAAGAUUACGACAUAGCGACGAAAUCAGGACCCUCGAAUGAGAAUAGGCAACAAAAGAAUUGUCAAAUGGAAAUGCUGGGUUGGAAAAGAGCAGAGGGCAGUUUCGGGUGUAGACCAGAUAAGGUGUUUGUGCCAUUGGAAAUGUUCUCACAACCCGAAUUUUCUAUCGUUGUCAUUAUGAAUUAUAAAAAGUAAACAAAACAAACAAAACCAAUAAUCGUUGACAAUCACUACGCAAUAAUAGCAUGACUGCCAAUUACAUACAUACAUAUUCUGAAAUUUUGUGCACACUCGUGUGUGACUCGAUCACAUUCAAUACGAUCGGGUUAGAGUGCCAGCUCGUUCACAAACGAGUGUCAACUCGGCACUCUGUUAAAACAAGCAUAUAUGCUUGUGUUUCGAGUGUCGCGAAAGGCUCGUUCGUUUUGAACAUGUCUCCAAACGAUCAAUACGUGUAUUCAUACCGAAAAGUUUGAUCAAACAAAAUCAGAGUGGACAUUCGAGUGUGCACGAAAAUGAUAUACCCGUUGCAGCUCUCUGGAAAAGAGAAAUAACUAUUUUUAUACCAUUUAUUCUUUUUAUUGUUAUUACAACCAGACCUACCUCAUAUUAAAAACUAAAUAUAUUUUUCAUUUAGAAUUUUAAGUAAUAAUUAAGCACUAUCCUUGGUUUUAUUGUUUUUUACUACCGUGCAAUUUGUCAGUUUUUCUUUCGUUUUUUGUUUUGCUUGCGGGUUUGGGGUUCUUUAUUGCGCCACGUAACAAGAAAUUAAAACCCAAAAAGCUAACUGUAAACGAAUGGCUUAAUCUUGUAUUCUAUCAUUCUUGACAGCAAUUCAGCUAAACAUAUUGAUAUUUGAUAAAAAGUGUCCGCUUUUAUUAAGAGAUGCCCUGCAAGACGAUGGAUAGAGGAUAAAGUCAUAUGAAGAAGUUCGCCUAAGUGAGGAAAGUUUCUGACUGCCAUUCACUAGGGAGUGACCAGGAACGAUUCUUUUGCAAGUGGUUCAAGCAGCUCACGACUUCCGAUCUUAGACCAAGUAACAGAGGGUAGCCAACAGCAAUCCGUUUGUUGCCGAGAUAAAGUGAGAAGGCGAAUCCUACUUAUGCGGUUGUGCGUAGAGUUUGGGACCCACCACGUAAAAACGAAUAACCAAUGAACAGGCAGCAACAGCUUCGGAUAAGGAGCAAUCCAAGAAAUGCGAAAGACGGGACAAGGACGGAAGAAGGAGGGUCCUUGUGACAUCUACUACAGCGGCCAGUGGUAUGAGAGAGACUCCGUCGUCGAGUUCUGGCAUUCACUCCAGUCGAUGAACGUCUAGCCACAAUCCGCAUCAAUGCGAGGUUCUUCAACAUAGCGCAUAUUUGCGCUCACGCCCUGACGGAAGAGAAGGACGAAGUGAUCAAAGAUACCUUCUAUGAGCGCCUAGAACGUACCUAUGAGCACUGCCCCUGCCACGAAGUCAAAAUCGUGCUUGGCGAUUUUAACGCUAGGGUGGAUAAAGAAAGUGCCUUUGGCCUUUGGCUCUCUGAGAGCACACAUCAGCAUCUCGGUAUAAGGGAACAGUGGGUCGGCAUAUCAAACUCCUUACGUACAGCUGCAAUCGAAACUAUUGGCUUUCGGAAAAGUAAAAAAAAAACAGCUGGUUUGAUGAGGAUUGUCGUCUCACAGUGAAGAGAAAACAGACAGGAAUGUUGCGAUUGACCGCAGCACGAGCGGUACAGGAAAGAUACCGAGAGCUGAAGAGGGAAGCGAGACGCAUUUGCAGACAAAAAAAGAAAGAGGCCGAAAUGCGUGAGUUUGAAGAGCUUGGCAAGCUGGGCGACAGGGGUAAUGCUCGAAAAAGAUCCGGUGACUAACAGAAGGUUUCAAGACCUGGGGACCCCCAGAGCUGAUCUAAUGGUUGAUGCCCAGAGCACACUGAGUUUGUCGAUGACGACGGAACAGAUGUUCCAUUACCCGACCAUGAAGAAAUUCAAGUAUCAAUUACCCGCUGGAAAAACAAUCAAGCGGCGGGGCCAAUGGAUUGCCGGACGAGCUAUCCCAAUGCGGCGGUGAAGAACUGAUAAGGUCCACAAAAACAGGAGACCCCACAAGAUACGCCAACUACCGUGGGAUAAG
Molecule: long non-coding RNA, 2302 nt
Organism: Zeugodacus cucurbitae (melon fly)
Lineage: Eukaryota; Metazoa; Arthropoda; Insecta; Diptera; Tephritidae
Exons: 3
Source: RefSeq, a predicted model, not a curated record